RNAcentral lists this long non-coding RNA (995 nucleotides) under Dunaliella salina. RNAcentral's name for it is "long non-coding RNA (DSAL_LNC000414)". Lineage: Eukaryota; Viridiplantae; Chlorophyta; Chlorophyceae; Chlamydomonadales; Dunaliellaceae. The record is from RNAcentral.
GAUGAGCAGCUGGUCGCAGCGCAGCAGGCGCACAGCGGCAAGACGCUUAGCGUGGAGGACGAGGCUGCGCGUGUGCUUGGACAAUCAAGCCAAGCGGAGGCCAUUGGUGCGUGACACAUUUCUGUGUGCUCUGCUGCAGCUUUGAGGAAGAGGACGUGCGCAUGUAUUUGGGUUAUUGUGCCAGGGUUAGGCCAUCGGUGCAUGACGACAUUCAUCACUUGCAUUUGUGUUCCUUCUGAAGAUGCUGUGUAGGGUUGGGUAGAAUGGGUCGAGCAUGUGGCAAAAGGGGGUCAAAUAGCCUCUUGAGGGCCUUUUUAGCCCUCUUUGAAGCCAGCUUCUCAACUCCCUUAAUGCAAUCCUAUACAUGUGCCAAACCCUGGCACACCUAUGCUUCACUUAUGUGCACCUGCUGAGGCAGUAUAAGUGUGUGUGUGUGUGUGUGUGUGUGUGUGUGUGUGUGUGUGUGUGUGUGUGUGUGUGUGUGUGUGUGUGUUGAUGGUUUGUGUGGCAAAUUCUGGCACACCCAUGCUCCAGUUGUUUGUGCCUUCAGAGGCAACGUGCGCUCAGCAACAUCAGCCAUCACCAUGCAGGCUGCCGUGGAGGUUUGUGACCAGGGAGGGGGUUGGUCACAAGGCUGGAAGGUGCCUUCAUUGUAAUGAGGCAUGCUAAGGAUGUUUGAAGGGAGAUGGUGAAGGGUGCUUUUAUACUGAGGACCUUGGACUUCCCCACUCGUCGAUCCAUGUCAGAUUGCCAGGAGCCAUGGUUUUGUGUCAAACAACAUGAGCAAGUCAAGGAGUAAAGACACCAGUCAUCUGCCCAGCAUGCUUUCCCAUGAUCGCAUACGUACUCAAUGCUCUCAUACUCGAUGUUGUGCAUGCUUCACACAAAAUGCAGGCUCGUGGGGAAUCGCGGGUGCAUGCGUGCUGUACAUCUUCCCGCUUGCUUUGAAUGCUGGUUGGAUGGGCCUCGCCACUUGCUUGGGUAUCAUGCAGGUG